RNAcentral lists this long non-coding RNA (676 nucleotides) under Dromaius novaehollandiae (emu). RNAcentral's name for it is "lncRNA (ENSDNVG00000006144.1)". The record is from RNAcentral. Lineage: Eukaryota; Metazoa; Chordata; Aves; Casuariiformes; Dromaiidae.
UCUCAUCUUCCUUGACUGACAGUAUUUUCACAGUGAUGCCUUAAGUUUCCAUCAGCAAUCUACCUGUCAGAAGAAGUUUUGUCCGCAGCUGCGUGAAUGUAACAGCUCCACUGGCUUUGAAUCAGGCCUGAGAAGAGGAAGAGAAGUUACUAGCACCUUUUCAUUAGCUUGUAAGGAAUGAAGCCUAUGUUUUAAACGGAAAGAGUAGAUCUAAGAUUGYCUGUGCCUCUACAAGUCUACUGAUAUAUUUAAGACAGAAGUACGCGUCCCCUCCACGUCACAGARGAGUCUCGAGCUCCCUCCAUCCCCCCGGACCGCGGAGCGACCCGCCUCAGCAGGGCUGGAAGCCGCGCACAAAACCGCCCUCCUCCAAGUACGUCUACACGGCGCCAGCAGGGCCAGGCACGUGCGGCCUGCUCCGACACCACUGACCCSUGAACCUCCUGGCCGGCUCGUUUUCGGCGAUUUUUUUGUCACUUCCAUAGCGAGCAGUAGAAGGGGCACAGUUGUGAGCCUGGAGAGCAGCUCUCUGUGUAUUACUGCUACAGCAAACAAGCGGUUUCAUUUCUCACACUAAAGAGAAGGAAAAAAGUAAUCUAGACAAGGUGAUGGAUGAUUGCGCUCACCAUUUGUAACAAGUUUUAAUAAAAUUGUAGGAGGAUUUUUUUGCUCCCUA